This is a non-coding RNA of Myotis lucifugus (little brown bat), 75 nucleotides long. NCBI's taxonomy places the organism in Eukaryota, Metazoa, Chordata, Mammalia, Chiroptera, Vespertilionidae. The record is from Rfam.
GGUGGUUCUCGGGUGACACACCCUGGAAUUGGGCUCCCUCCUCUCUGGUUCCAGGUGUGUCACCCAAGAAAUGCA